CAGCCGCCGCGGUAAAACGAAGGGUGCAAGCGUUAAUCGGAAUUACUGGGCGUAAAGCGUGCGUAGGCGGUUUGUUAAGUCUGUUGUGAAAUCCCCGGGCUCAACCUGGGAAUGGCAAUGGAUACUGGCAAGCUAGAGUGUGUCAGAGGAUGGUGGAAUUCCCGGUGUAGCGGUGAAAUGCGUAGAGAUCGGGAGGAACAUCAGUGGCGAAGGCGGCCAUCUGGGACAACACUGACGCUGAGGCACGAAAGCGUGGGGAGCAAACAGGAUUAGAUACCCCGGUAGUCCCUGUCUCUUAUAC
Molecule: ribosomal RNA, 301 nt
Filed under: uncultured bacterium
Lineage: Bacteria
Description: partial 16S ribosomal RNA
Rfam family: Bacterial small subunit ribosomal RNA
Source: RNAcentral